RNAcentral lists this long non-coding RNA (230 nucleotides) under Elaeis guineensis (African oil palm). RNAcentral describes it as "long non-coding RNA (EGUI_LNC018276)". The record is from RNAcentral. Lineage: Eukaryota; Viridiplantae; Streptophyta; Magnoliopsida; Arecales; Arecaceae.
UCGACUCUUCAAUCCUGUUUGACCCAUAACUCAAUUUUUAAUCAAGUUAGCUUAUACAUUCAAUCAAGUCAAGUACUUUCAAAUUGGACAUAUAAACAUAGAUCAAUUUCUUCCUACUUUGUUUGACUUGUGUGCGUAACUUCAUAGGUUCAAACACUAAGUCGGUAGCACAUGAACCAAUUUCUGUACUAAUCGAGAUACCAUCUAGCAAUAGUUUUAGACAUCCAGAU